This is a long non-coding RNA of Gorilla gorilla gorilla (western lowland gorilla), 374 nucleotides long. RefSeq lists it as uncharacterized. NCBI's taxonomy places the organism in Eukaryota, Metazoa, Chordata, Mammalia, Primates, Hominidae. The record is from RefSeq and is a predicted model, not a curated record. The transcript has 3 exons.
AGUUCCUCUGCAUGGAAAAUGACACUUUUAAAUAUCAAACUCAUUGCUUGGGCAUACUCUAUGAUGACAUUAGGGACUGAAAUGCUGAAUUCUGUCUUUGGUUUCUACUAUGUGAAACUUUUUCUACAUCUGUACAAGAUUUCAGAAGUGGCCUUUUAUCAAGCCCAGGCUGUUGCCAUCGUCAUUGCUUUCCUUGCUGCUGCCAGCCUUUACGCUGGGAUGUAUCACGUGAGGCGUUUCGAACCUAAAAGAAGCCCCAAAGAGAACCUCCUCUUGGAAUCUGAACAGGAUCUCACCUGGACUCCUGUCAUUUUUUCCAUAUUCUCAUUCCCAGAGAUGUACUAUCUUCUUCUAUAAGGAGCAUUAUGUACGGG